RNAcentral lists this ribosomal RNA (1308 nucleotides) under uncultured bacterium. Its description in RNAcentral is "partial 16S ribosomal RNA". It matches the Rfam family "Bacterial small subunit ribosomal RNA", at positions 8 to 1305 of the family's 1533-position model. The record is from RNAcentral.
AGAGUUUGAUCCUGGCUCAGGAUGAACGCUGGCGGCGUGCCUAACACAUGCAAGUCGAACGGGGCUGUUGCGGAAGGCUGGUGCUUGCACUGGCCGGAAGCGGCAGCCUAGUGGCGGACGGGUGAGUAACGCGUGGGCAACCUGCCCUGCACAGGGGGAUAACACCUGGAAACAGGUGCUAAUACCGCAUAAGCGCACAGCUUCGCAUGAAGCAGUGUGAAAAACUCCGGUGGUAUACGAUGGAUCCGCGUCUGAUUAGCUGGUUGGCGGGGUAACAGCCCACCAAGGCGACGAUCAGUAGCCGGCCUGAGAGGGUGAACGGCCACAUUGGGACUGAGACACGGCCCAAACUCCUACGGGAGGCAGCAGUGGGGAAUAUUGCACAAUGGGGGAAACCCUGAUGCAGCGACGCCGCGUGGGUGAAGGAGCACCUCGGUGCGUAAAGCUCUAUCAGCAGGGAAGAAAAUGACGGUACCUGACUAAGAAGCCCCGGCUAACUACGUGCCAGCAGCCGCGGUAAUACGUAGGGGGCAAGCGUUAUCCGGAUUUACUGGGUGUAAAGGGAGCGUAGACGGCAGCGCAAGUCUGAAGUGAAAUCCCAUGGCUUAACCAUGGAGCUGCUUUGGAAACUGUGCAGCUGGAGUGCAGGAGAGGUAAGCGGAAUUCCUAGUGUAGCGGUGAAAUGCGUAGAUAUUAGGAGGAACACCAGUGGCGAAGGCGGCUUACUGGACUGUAACUGACGUUGAGGCUCGAAAGCGUGGGGAGCAAACAGGAUUAGAUACCCUGGUAGUCCACGCCGUAAACGAUGAUUACUAGGUUGUUGGGGGACCCAAGGGCCUUCCGGGGCCGGCGCAAACCCAUUAAUUACUCCUCCUGGGGGAGUACGUUCGCGAGACUGAAGCUCAAAGGAAUUGUCGGGGACCCGCCCACGCGGUGGAGCAUGUGGUUUAAUUCGAAGCAACGCGAAGAACCUUAUCCGCCCUUGACAUCUUCUCGGCAGCCCGGUAAUGCAGGCCUUUCUUACGGGACAGCAGAGACAUGUGGUGCAAGGUUGUCGUCCGGUUGUGUCGUGAGAUGUUGGGUUAAGUCCCGCAAGGAGGGCAACCCCUCCUGACAGUAGGCAGCAGCAAGGAGGGGGCAGUCUGUAAGGCCAGCGGGGGGUACCCCGGGGAAGGGGGGGGAGGACGUCAAAUCAUCACGCCCCCUAUAGGGUGGGCUGCACACGUGUGCCAAAGUCGCCCACAGAGUGAGGCGAAUGUGCGCGGGGGAGCGAAGCUCAAAAAAGGCGUCCCAGUUCGGAUAACAGCC